UCAGUUCAGAUUGUAGGCUGCAACUCGCCUACAUGAAGUCGGAAUUGCUAGUAAUCGCGGAUCAGCAUGCCGCGGUGAAUACGUUCCCGGGCCUUGUACACACCGCCCGUCACACCAUGAGAGUUGGGGAUACCCGAAGCCUGUGAGCUAACUUUUAGAGGCAGCAGUCGAAGGUAGAAUCAAUGAUUGGGGUGAAGUCGUAACAAGGUAAC
RNAcentral lists this ribosomal RNA (212 nucleotides) under uncultured bacterium. Its description in RNAcentral is "partial 16S ribosomal RNA". It matches the Rfam family "Bacterial small subunit ribosomal RNA", at positions 1288 to 1500 of the family's 1533-position model. The record is from RNAcentral.